This 253-nucleotide ribosomal RNA is filed under the name uncultured bacterium. Its description in RNAcentral is "partial 16S ribosomal RNA". It matches the Rfam family "Bacterial small subunit ribosomal RNA", at positions 524 to 776 of the family's 1533-position model. The record is from RNAcentral.
UACGGGGGGGGCAAGCGUUGUUCGGAAUUACUGGGCGUAAAGGGCUCGUAGGCGGCCAACUAAGUCAGACGUGAAAUCCCUCGGCUUAACCGGGGAACUGCGUCUGAUACUGGAUGGCUUGAGAUUGGGAGAGGGAUGCGGAAUUCCAGGUGUAGCGGUGAAAUGCGUAGAUAUCUGGAGGAACACCGGUGGCGAAGGCGGCAUCCUGGACAAACACUGACGCUCAGGCACGAAAGCGUGGGGAGCAAGCAGG